GAAACUUAAAUAAUUAAGCCGCUAACUUAAUUUAUAGUGCACUUGCAUUAAAGUUUCU
This 58-nucleotide transfer RNA is filed under the name Potamophylax cingulatus. Its description in RNAcentral is "tRNA-Ser". The record is from RNAcentral. Lineage: Eukaryota; Metazoa; Arthropoda; Insecta; Trichoptera; Limnephilidae.